UACAGAGGUCUCAAGCGUUGUUCGGAUUCAUUGGGCGUAAAGGGCGCGUAGGCGGCUCGUGAAGUCGGGUGUGAAAGCCCGGGGCUCAACCCCGGAACGGCAUCCGAUACUGGCGGGCUUGAGACCGGGAGAGGAGGGUGGAAUACCCAGUGUAGAGGUGAAAUUCGUAGAUAUUGGGAAGAACACCGGUGACGAAGGCGGCGCUCUGGACCGAGACUGACGCUGAGGCGCGAAAGCGUGGGGAGCAAACAGG
RNAcentral lists this ribosomal RNA (253 nucleotides) under uncultured bacterium. RNAcentral describes it as "partial 16S ribosomal RNA". It matches the Rfam family "Bacterial small subunit ribosomal RNA", at positions 524 to 776 of the family's 1533-position model. The record is from RNAcentral.